UACGUAGGGACCGAGCGUUGUCCGGAUUCAUUGGGCGUAAAGAGCUCGUAGGCGGCCACUCAAGUCGAAUGUGAAACCUCGAGGCUCAACCUCGAGCCUGCAUUCGAUACUGGGCGGCUAGAGUCUGGUAGGGGGAUCUGGAAUUCCUGGUGUAGCGGUGGAAUGCGCAGAUAUCAGGAGGAACACCGGUGGCGAAGGCGGGAUCCUGGGCCAGUACUGACGCUGAGGAGCGAAAGCGUAGGGAGCAAACAGG
RNAcentral lists this ribosomal RNA (253 nucleotides) under uncultured bacterium. Its description in RNAcentral is "partial 16S ribosomal RNA". It matches the Rfam family "Bacterial small subunit ribosomal RNA", at positions 524 to 776 of the family's 1533-position model. The record is from RNAcentral.